This 407-nucleotide ribosomal RNA is filed under the name uncultured soil bacterium. RNAcentral's name for it is "bacterial SSU rRNA". It matches the Rfam family "Bacterial small subunit ribosomal RNA", at positions 26 to 460 of the family's 1533-position model. The record is from RNAcentral.
AGAACGAACGCUGGCGGCAUGCCUAAUACAUGCAAGUCGAACGAAGGCUUCGGCCUUAGUGGCGCACGGGUGCGUAACGCGUGGGAAUCUGCCCCUUGGUUCGGAAUAACAGUUGGAAACGACUGCUAAUACCGGAUGAUGACGAAAGUCCAAAGAUUUAUCGCCAAGGGAUGAGCCCGCGUAGGAUUAGCUAGUUGGUGAGGUAAAGGCUCACCAAGGCGACGAUCCUUAGCUGGUCUGAGAGGAUGAUCAGCCACACUGGGACUGAGACACGGCCCAGACUCCUACGGGAGGCAGCAGUAGGGAAUAUUGGACAAUGGGACGAAAGCCUGAUCCAGCAAUGCCGCGUGAGUGAUGAAGGCCGUUAGGUUGUAAAGCUUCGUUUUGACCCGAGAUAGAUAAUGAAC